GAUGAACGCUGGCGGCGUGCCUAAUACAUGCAAGUCGAGCGAACAGACGAGGAUCUUGCUCCUCUGACGUUAGCGGCGGACGGGUGAAUAACACGUGGAAAACCUACCUAUAAGACUGGUAUAACUUCGGGAAACCGGAGCUAAUACCGUAUAACAUGUUGCACCGCAUUGGUCAACAGUGAAAGACGGUUUUGCGGUCACGUAUAGAUGGAUCCGCGCCGCAUUAGAUGGUUGGUAAGUUCACGGCCUACCAAGGCAACCAGGCGUAGACGAGGGGACAGGGUGAUCGGCGACACUGGAAGUGAGACGCGGUCAAGGGGCCUAAGGGAGGCAGCAGUAGGGAACCUUCCGCAAUGGGCGAAAGCCUGACGGAGUAGGGCGGCGUGAGAGAAGAAGGUGUUCGGAUCGUAAAACUCUGUUAUUAGGGAAGAACAAAUGUGUCAUUAGAUAUGCACGUAUUGACGGUACCUGAUCAGAAAGCCACGGCUAACUACGUG
Molecule: ribosomal RNA, 497 nt
Filed under: uncultured bacterium
Lineage: Bacteria
Description: partial 16S ribosomal RNA
Rfam family: Bacterial small subunit ribosomal RNA
Source: RNAcentral